AUUGAACGCUGGCGGCAGGCCUAACACAUGCAAGUCGAACGGACCCUUCGGGGUUAGUGGCGGACGGGUGAGUAACACGUGGGAACGUGCCUUUAGGUUCGGAAUAGCUCCUGGAAACGGGUGGUAAUGCCGAAUGUGCCCUUCGGGGGAAAGAUUUAUCGCCUUUAGAGCGGCCCGCGUCUGAUUAGCUAGUUGGUGAGGUAACGGCUCACCAAGGCGACGAUCAGUAGCUGGUCUGAGAGGAUGACCAGCCACACUGGGACUGAGACACGGCCCAGACUGCUACGGGGGGCAGCAGUGGGGAAUCUGGCGCAAUGGGCGAAAGCCUGACGCAGCCACGCCGCGUGAAUGAUGAAGGUCUUAGGAUUGUAAAAUUCUUUCACCGGGGACGAUAAUGACGGUACCCGGAGAAGAAGCCCCGGCUAACUUCGUGCCAGCAGCCGCCGUAA
RNAcentral lists this ribosomal RNA (449 nucleotides) under uncultured bacterium. RNAcentral's name for it is "partial 16S ribosomal RNA". It matches the Rfam family "Bacterial small subunit ribosomal RNA", at positions 30 to 523 of the family's 1533-position model. The record is from RNAcentral.